GACGAACGCUGGCGGCGUGCUUAACACAUGCAAGUCGAACGGAAAGGCCCUGCUUUUGUGGGGUGCUCGAUUGGCGAACGGGUGAGUAACACGUGAGUAACCUGCCCUUGACUUUGGGAUAACUUCAGGAAACUGGGGCUAAUACCGGAUAGGAUCUCCUGCUGCAUGGUGGGGGUUGGAAAGUUUCGGCGGUUGGGGAUGGACUCGCGGCUUAUCAGCUUGUUGGUGGGGUAGUGGCUUACCAAGGCUUUGACGGGUAGCCGGCCUGAGCGGGUGACCGGCCACAUUGGGACUGAGAUACGGACCAGACUCCUACGGGAGGCAGCAGUGGGGAAUAUUGCACAAUGGGCGGAAGCCUGAUGCAGCAACGCCGCGUGCGGGAUGACGGCCUUCGGGUUGUAAACCGCUUUCGCCUGUGACGAAGCGUGAGUGACGGUAAUGGGUAAAGAAGCACCGGCUAACUACGUG
Molecule: ribosomal RNA, 468 nt
Filed under: uncultured bacterium
Lineage: Bacteria
Description: partial 16S ribosomal RNA
Rfam family: Bacterial small subunit ribosomal RNA
Source: RNAcentral